RNAcentral lists this ribosomal RNA (453 nucleotides) under uncultured Porphyromonadaceae bacterium. RNAcentral's name for it is "partial 16S ribosomal RNA". It matches the Rfam family "Bacterial small subunit ribosomal RNA", at positions 341 to 792 of the family's 1533-position model. Lineage: Bacteria; Pseudomonadati; Bacteroidota; Bacteroidia; Bacteroidales; Porphyromonadaceae. The record is from RNAcentral.
ACGGGAGGCAGCAGUGAGGAAUAUUGGUCAAUGGGCGGAAGCCUGAACCAGCCAAGUCGCGUGAAGGAUGAAGGUAUUAUGUAUUGUAAACUUCUUUAGCAGUGGAGUAAUAAGGGGAUCGCGAUCCCUGAUGCAAGUACACUGAGAAUAAGGAUCGGCUAACUCCGUGCCAGCAGCCGCGGUAAUACGGAGGAUCCGAGCGUUAUCCGGAUUUAUUGGGUUUAAAGGGUGCGUAGGCGGGAUGUUAAGUCAGCGGUGAAAGCGUGUAGCUCAACUAUACCAAGCCGUUGAAACUGGCGUUCUUGAGUGUAAACGAGGUAGGCGGAAUGUGACGUGUAGCGGUGAAAUGCUUAGAUAUGUCACAGAACCCCGAUUGCGAAGGCAGCUUACCAGCAUACAACUGACGCUGAGGCACGAAAGUGCGGGGAUCAAACAGGAUUAGAUACCCUGGUA